Molecule: transfer RNA, 84 nt
Filed under: Eggerthellaceae bacterium
Lineage: Bacteria; Bacillati; Actinomycetota; Coriobacteriia; Eggerthellales; Eggerthellaceae
Description: tRNA-Leu
Rfam family: tRNA
About the family: Transfer RNA (tRNA) molecules are approximately 80 nucleotides in length. Their secondary structure includes four short double-helical elements and three loops (D, anti-codon, and T loops). Further hydrogen bonds mediate the characteristic L-shaped molecular structure. tRNAs have two regions of fundamental functional importance: the anti-codon, which is responsible for specific mRNA codon recognition, and the 3' end, to which the tRNAs corresponding amino acid is attached (by aminoacyl-tRNA synthetases). tRNAs cope with the degeneracy of the genetic code in two manners: having more than one tRNA (with a specific anti-codon) for a particular amino acid; and 'wobble' base-pairing, i.e. permitting non-standard base-pairing at the 3rd anti-codon position.
Source: RNAcentral
GCGGGCGUGGCGGAAUGGCAGACGCGACGGUUUUAGGUGCCGUUGCCGCAAGGCGUGAAGGUUCAAGUCCUUUCGCCCGCACCA